Molecule: long non-coding RNA, 4320 nt
Filed under: Citrus maxima (pomelo)
Lineage: Eukaryota; Viridiplantae; Streptophyta; Magnoliopsida; Sapindales; Rutaceae
Description: long non-coding RNA (CMAX_LNC000444)
Source: RNAcentral
GAUGGAGAGACAAGAGAGAAAAGAAAAGAAAAAAGAGAAGAAGAAAGUCUUCUUCUUCUUCUUAGUUUUGCCAUAGACAACACAUUGGAUCAAGUUGUUAUUGUUGGGAGAAGUUUUGGAGGUACGUUUUAAUUAUUGGUUUCUAUUAACUUGUUGUGGAGAAGCAUGAUUGCAAUAGAAGUAGAAAUCAAAGAUUUUACAUAAAUAUGCUGACAGUGAAUCAUUACGAAAAUCAUAGUAAUUUGUACAAAUUGAUUUUGAUUCUGUUUUUUGGGUAUGUUAAACUAGACAUUGUCUAAUAUGUUUUGAAACUUGUUUCAAGUUAAUCGGAUAAGAUUUCGAUUAAUUAUGAUUUUUCAAAUUCAAGUCUGAAAACCUGGAAAUUUAUGAUUUCAGUGAAUUACGAAAUUAUUUCUACCAUAUCUAGACUCCUUCAAAAAUUAUGAAAUUUGGACCAAUGAUUUUUAUAUAUGUCUAGUAUGAUUCUGGAAAUUUUCAUGAUUUUAUGAUCAAGAAAUAAAUUGUUUUGUAUUUUUAAAGCAAGUGUGUUCAAAACAGAAAACUGUUUGACAGUAUUGAUGAUGUCUGAAACGUGAAUUAUUUUCAAUCUUUUUGGAAGGAAUUAUGUUAUGAAAUUUUUAUCAAUGAACUUUCAAUGUGUCAGCAUAUGGUCUGUAAAAUUUGAGAUUCUUCCAAUAAGAGAAUAAUUUAUUAAAAAUCGGAGAAAUAUGGACUGUUAUGUUUUGAGGGCCGAUUAUUGAGGACAUUUGAGGUUGAGCUUAAGAGUUAUUUAAAUUGAGAUAUUUGAGGACAUUAGAGUUUAUGAUUGAGAUUUGAUUAUAUCUUAUGAGAAUUUAUUGAUGAUUUUAGGUUGAUGGUAUCAGUACGCAUUUGUUACAUGAGGAUGCCAAGAGGUAAGUAAACUAGACUUUAAAACGAAUCACAAUAAAUAAUAUAUAUGUUUGACUUGUAUGAAAAGCCUAUUUUGAUAUGUACGAAUAUGGAUUUAUAUGUCUCUGCUCAUGUGUUUAUGUGAUGUGUUGUUAUGUAAUGGGCGUGAUUAUGUACAUGGGCAUAUAUAUGUGUGAUGGUUCAUUGGCAUGAGCACGAAAAUGCAUUGAGUUUUCUAUGAAUGAGAAAGUGGAUUUUAGCAAAUUGAAUUUAUGUUUUAUGAGAUUUUGCAUUGGGGGCCACCUCUUGAAGUUGUGUGGGGGCCACCUCUUGAGACUAUGCAGGGGCCACCUCUUGAGGGCUAGAGUCCCGCAAAGUGCCACGCAUGGUGCAAAGUGCCACGCACAACACAAAGUGCCACAUUGUAGGAUACGUAUUUCAUCGAAAGAAAAUGAGAAAGUUUGAAAGCGACAGAAAGAGAUUUUUAUGAAUUAAUUUUACAGUAUUUCUAAAAGAUCAUGGCAUAUCAUCCAUUGCAUUAUGUAUAAGUAUGUAUGUAUUUUCUAUAAGAAAAACUAGUUUGCUUACUGAGUUUUGUACUCAUUAUAGUUUAUUGUGAUUCAGUUUCCAGAAGUCAGGAUUGAUUCGUGAUGAGUGACAAGUUGAAGAUGGUAGAUGGUUUCGCUAAAUUUUUUAGUUAUUCCGCUGGCUUUUGUAUUUGAUGCUCGAAUUUUAUUGUUUGUAAAGAGUUAUUUAAAUCAUAUGUGAGUUGUGGACAUAUUUGCCCUUGGAUUUCGGACUGGGGUGUUAUAUUUCGAGGGGCCUCCGUGUGCCAAAAAUAGGCCGCGGGAAAUGCCGCGCCAAAAAUAUCCGCCCGAAGGCCCGCGCCAAGUUCGUCCAGCGGAAAAAGGCCACAAAAACGGGUGGGCUAUAGCCUUGGGGGGUGGGGCUGGCCAACUUCGUCCGCCGGAAUCGGAAUGCCGCGAGACUUUGCUAGGGGCUUCCAUUUGCCAAAAAUAGGCCGCAGACAAAGCCGCGCCCAAAAAUAACCGCCCGAAGGCCGGGGCGCGAAGCUCGUCCAGCGGAAAAAGGCCACAAAAACGGGUGGGCUAUAGCCUUGGGGGUGGGGCUGGCCAACUUCGUCCGCCGGACUCGGAAUGCCGCGAGACUUUGCGAGGGGCCUCCGUGUGCCAAAAAUAGGCCGCGGGCAAAGCCGCGCCCAAAAAUAACCACCCGAAGGCCGGGGCGCCAAGUUCGUCCACCGGAAAAAGGCCACAAAAACGGGUGGGCUAUAGCCUUGGGGGGUGGGGCUGGCCAACUUCGUCCGCCGGACUCGGAAUGCCGCGAGACUUUACGAGGGGCCUCCGUGUGCCAAAAAUAGGCCGCGGGCAAAGCUGCGCCCAAAAAUAACUGCCCGUAGGCUGGGGCGCCAAGUUCGUCCAGCGGAAAAAGGCCACAAAAACGGGUGGGCUAUAGCCUUGGGGGGUGGGGCUGGCCAACUUCGUCCGCUGGACUCGGAAUGCCGCGAGACUUUGCCAGGGGCCUCUGUGUGCCAAAAAUAGGCCGCGGACAAAGCCACGCCCAAAAAUAACCGGCCGAAGGCCGGGGCGCCAAGUUCGUCCAGCGGAAAAAGGUCACAAAAACGGGUGGGCUAUAACCUUGGGGGGUUGGGCUGGCCAACUUCGUCCGCCGAACUCGGAAUGCCGCGAGACUUUGCGAGGGGCCUCCGUGUACCAAAAAUAGGCCGCGGACAAAGCCGCGCCAAAAAUAACCGCCCGAAGGCCGGGGCGCCAAGUUCGUCCAUCGGAAAAAGGCCACAAAAACGGGUGGGCUAGCCUUGGGGGGUGGGGCUGGCCAACUUCGUCCGCCGGACUCGGAAUGCGGCAAGACUUCUUGAGGGGCCUCCAUGUGCCAAAAAUAGGCCACGCCCAAAAAUAACCGUCCGAAGGCCGGGGCGCCAAGUUCGUCCAGCGGAAAAAGGCCACAAAAACGGGUGGGCUAUAGCCAUGGGGGGUGGGGCUGGCCAACUUCGUCCGCCGGACUUGGAAAGCCGCGAGACUUUGCGAGGGGCCUCCGUGUGCCAAAAAUAGGCCGCGGGCAAAGCUGCGCCCAAAAAUAACCCCCGAUGGGCAGGGCGCCAAGUUCGUCCAGCAGAAAAAGGCCACAAAAACGGGUGGGCUAUAGCCUUGGGGGGUGGGGCUGGCCAACUUCGUCCGCCGGACUCGGAAUGCCGUGAGACUUUGCGAGGGGCCUCUGUGUGCAAAAAAUAAGCCGCGGACAAAGCCGCGCCCAAAAAUAACCGCCCGAAGGCCGGGGCGCCAAGUUCGUCCAGCGGAAAAAGGCCACAAAAACGGGUGGGCUACAGCCUUGGGGGGUGGGGCUGGCCAACUUCGUCCGCCGGACUCGGAAAGCGGCAAGACUUUGCGAGGGGCCUCCGUGUGCCAAAAAUAGGCCGCGCCCAAAAAUAACCGCCCGAAGGCCGGGGCGCCAAGUUCGUCCAGCGGAAAAAGGUCACAAAAACGGGUGGGCUAUAGCCUUGGGGGGUGGGGCUGGCCAACUUCGUCCGCCGGACUCGGAAUACUGCGAGACCUUGCGAGGGGCCUCCGCGGGCAAAGCCGCGCCCAAAAAUAACCGCCCGAAGGCCGGGGCGCCAAGUUCGUCCAGCGGAAAAAGGCCACAAAAACGGGUGGGCUAUAGCCUUGGGGGGUGGGGCUGGCCAACUUCGUCCGCCGGGCUCGGAAUGCCGCGAGACUUUUCGUGUAAUACCCCAAAUCUCCUAAGGGUAUUUAAGUCUUUUUAAUUUUUAGUGAUCCUUUUUACCCUAAUAUAAAUAGAACAAGAUGUAUUUUUCAUUAUAAGAGAGAGAAAAAGAGGGAUCGGUUGAAAAAGAGAGAUGGAGAGACAAGAGAGAAAAGAAAAGAAAAAAGAGAAGAAGAAAGUCUUCUUCUUCUUCUUAGUUUUGCCAUAGACAACACAUUGGAUCAAGUUGUUAUUGUUGGGAGAAGUUUUGGAGGUACGUUUUAAUUAUUGGUUUCUAUUAACUUGUUGUGGAGAAGCAUGAUUGCAAUAGAAGUAGAAAUCAAAGAUUUUACAUAAAUAUGCUGACAGUGAAUCAUUACGAAAAUCAUAGUAAUUUGUACAAAUUGAUUUUGAUUCUGUUUUUUGGGUAUGUUAAACUAGACAUUGUCUAAUAUGUUUUGAAACUUGUUUCAAGUUAAUCGGAUAAGAUUUCGAUUAAUUAUGAUUUUUCAAAUUCAAGUCUGAAAACCUGGAAAUUUAUGAUUUCAGUGAAUUACGAAAUUAUUUCUACCAUAUCUAGACUCCUUCAAAAAUUAUGAAAUUUGGACCAAUGAUUUUUAUAUAUGUCUAGUAUGAUUCUGGAAAUUUUCAUGAUUUUAUGAUCAAGAAAUAAAUUGUUUUGUAUUUUUA